GCCAUAUUGCACUGAAACAUCAGUUCUUAUAUGAUCACUGAAGUUAAGCAAUAUUGAGCUUGGUCAGUGUGUAGAUGGGUGACCACUUGAGAAUACCAGGUGCUGUAUG
Acanthosepion pharaonis is the source of this 109-nucleotide non-coding RNA. The record is from the annotation of a GenBank genome assembly. NCBI's taxonomy places the organism in Eukaryota, Metazoa, Mollusca, Cephalopoda, Sepiida, Sepiidae.